ACUAGAGACUCCGACCAGGGUGGUCAACCCAGUAAACAACAAACCCGCCAUACACCGCGCGAGCGGAGCACUUGAGGACAUCUGUGUCUCGUAUUGUACACGCUAUUUCACAACUUAACUGAUUAGUUGAA
Molecule: non-coding RNA, 131 nt
Organism: Caenorhabditis elegans
Lineage: Eukaryota; Metazoa; Nematoda; Chromadorea; Rhabditida; Rhabditidae
Source: Ensembl